This 253-nucleotide ribosomal RNA is filed under the name uncultured bacterium. Its description in RNAcentral is "partial 16S ribosomal RNA". It matches the Rfam family "Bacterial small subunit ribosomal RNA", at positions 524 to 776 of the family's 1533-position model. The record is from RNAcentral.
UACGGAGGGUGCAAGCGUUGUCCGGAUUUAUUGGGUUUAAAGGGUGCGUAGGCGGCUCGUUAAGUCAGUGGUGAAAGCCUCCAGCUCAACUGGAGAACUGCCAUUGAUACUGGCGGUCUUGAGUACAGACGAGGUUGGCGGAAUUGAUUGUGUAGCGGUGAAAUGCAUAGAUACAAUCAAGAACUCCGAUUGCGUAGGCAGCUAACUAGGCUGUAACUGACGCUGAGGCACGAAAGCGUGGGGAGCGAACAGG